Molecule: long non-coding RNA, 377 nt
Filed under: Bos mutus (wild yak)
Lineage: Eukaryota; Metazoa; Chordata; Mammalia; Artiodactyla; Bovidae
Description: lncRNA (ENSBMUG00000001917.1)
Source: RNAcentral
GGAGCCGUUCCCUCUUCCUAAGCAAAGUGUGGGUGCGAAUGGGUGGGAGGGAUCAGAUCGUAUCCACUGCCCCCACCCCAACCCCGCCCCCACUUUAGAGGGCUGGGUUCAAGGCCAGAGCAGAGAGCCCCUCCCUGUUCCUCUCUGGUUAGCAGGAGGCUGUGCUGUCCUAGCCGGCCGAGCGGGCAGCCUCCUUCCCUCCCUGGCACUGGAACCCUGCCCUGUUGGCCUUGGCUGGGAGCGUCUCUCAGCCUCCUCCCAGAGCCCUGUCUGCUCCAGGGCCUGUCUCUUCCUCGCUCAAGCUCUGCAUCAUCUUCCUCCCUCUUAAUACUCCUACUUAACCUCAGGAUGGAGAGUUCUGGGGAGGCCCAGCCCCA